This 324-nucleotide ribosomal RNA is filed under the name uncultured eukaryote. RNAcentral describes it as "partial 18S ribosomal RNA". It matches the Rfam family "Eukaryotic small subunit ribosomal RNA", at positions 1470 to 1796 of the family's 1831-position model. The record is from RNAcentral.
CCCUUAGAUGUUCUGGGCCGCACGCGCGCUACACUGAUGCAUUCAACGAGUUUCUUCCUGGUCCGAGAGGAAUGGGUAACCUUUUGAAAGUGCAUCGUGAUAGGGAUAGACUAUUGCAAUUAUUGGUCUUCAACGAGGAAUUCCUAGUAGACGUAGUUCAUCAGACUGCAUCGAUUACGUCCCUGCCCUUUGUACACACCGCCCGUCGCUCCUACCGAUUGAAUGCUCAGGUGAGCCAUUCGGACUUUCAUCAUGCUGGUUUCCAGUUUUGAUUAAGGAAAGUCUUGCGAACCUUAUCAUUUAGAGGAAGGAGAAGUCGUAACA